This 71-nucleotide transfer RNA is filed under the name Oligodon chinensis (Chinese kukri snake). RNAcentral describes it as "tRNA-Gln". It matches the Rfam family "tRNA". From Rfam's summary of the family: Transfer RNA (tRNA) molecules are approximately 80 nucleotides in length. Lineage: Eukaryota; Metazoa; Chordata; Lepidosauria; Squamata; Colubridae. The record is from RNAcentral.
UAGAAGAUAGUAUAGGGGUAGUACGGAAAGUUUUGGGCUUUCUGGUCUAAGUUCGAUUCUUAGUUUUCUAG